RNAcentral lists this ribosomal RNA (497 nucleotides) under uncultured bacterium. RNAcentral describes it as "partial 16S ribosomal RNA". It matches the Rfam family "Bacterial small subunit ribosomal RNA", at positions 28 to 507 of the family's 1533-position model. The record is from RNAcentral.
GAUGAACGCUGGCGGCGUGCCUAAUACAUGCAAGUCGAGCGGACGGACGAUAAGAUCUUGCCUCUACUGUUGGCGGCUGGCGGAUGAGUAACACAUAGAUCACCUUCCUCUAUUUCUUGGAUAACUUCGUGAGGCCAUUGCCACUACCAGCUCAUAUUUUGUACGGCAUGAAUCAGGAGAUCUUCGCAGCCUUCCCGACACUUUUAGCUGAUUCCGCGUUGGAUUAGCUAGUUGGUAAGGUAACGGCAUACCAAGGCAACGAUGCAUAGCUGAUCUGAGAGGAUGAUCAGCCACACUGGAACUGAGACACGGUCCAGACUCCUACGGGAGGCAGCAGUAGGGAAUAUUGGGCAAUGGGCGAAAGCCUGACGGAGCAACGCCGCGUGAGUGAUGAAGGUCUUCGGAUCGUAAAGCUCUGUUAUUAGGAAAGAAAAGAUGUGUAUGUAACCGUGGAUAUCUUGACGGUACCCAAUCAGAAAGCACCGGCUAACUUCGUG